This is a long non-coding RNA of Cyprinus carpio carpio, 4609 nucleotides long. The record is from Ensembl. NCBI's taxonomy places the organism in Eukaryota, Metazoa, Chordata, Actinopteri, Cypriniformes, Cyprinidae.
GUAAAAAUGUGAAAAUGGCAACUCAUUUUAUAAAGAUAAGCUAUUUGUACUUGAUAUGACCUUAACAAAAUUUAAAAUACAAUCACUGACUGAACUGAAUCUAAGGGGGUGAUAUUUAAAAAAUGCAUUAGAUUAAUUUAACAAUCAAGAAUAAUUGGUAACACUUCAGUAUAAGGAACCAUUCUCACUAUUAACUAGUUGCUUAUUAGCAUGCCUAUUUACAUAUUGGCUGUUUAUUAUUGCUUAUAAAGUACAUAUUCUGCAUGAGCAUAUUCUACAUCCCUAAUCCUAUCCAAUACUGAAACUUAACAACUACUUUACUAACUAUUAUUAAACAGUAAUUAGGAGUUUAUUGAGGCAAAAGCCAUAGAUAAUAGUGAGAAUUGGACCUUAAAAUAAAGUGUAUCUUUACUAAUUAUAUAAUUAAUUAGGUUUUUGAAUGAGUCUUGAUUAUGGGCAACAAAUUGAACAAUUUUCCUGAACAAAAAAUACUGCAUUUAAACACAGUAGCAUAACAUUUUAUACAUUAAUAUUUUUCUGUUUAGUGAUUUGAAUCAGUGAAUUCUGAACAUAAAUGUGACCCUGGAACACCAGUCUUAAGUCUAAAAUUUUUCGAAAUUGAGAUUUAUACAUCAUCUGAAACUGAAUAGAUAAUCUUUCCAUUGAUGUAUGGUUUGUUAUGAUCGGACAAUAUUUGCUCGAGAUACAACUAUUUGAAAAUCUGGAAUCUGAGGGUACAAAAACAUCAAAAUAUUGGGAAAAUCACCUUUAAAUUUGUCCAAAUGAAUUCUUAGAUAUGCAUAUUACUAAUCAAAAAUUAAGUUUUGAUAUAUUUACUGUAGGAAAUUUACAAAAUAUCUUCAUGGAACAUGAUCUUUACUUAAUAUCCUAAUGAUUUUUGGCAUUAAAGAAAAAUCUAUAAUUUUGACCCAUACAAUUUAUUUUUGGCUAUUAUUACAAAUAUACCCCAGAGACUUAAGACUGCUUUUGUGCUCCAGGGUCCCAAAUAAUCUAAACGAACCGACACACUAAAACCCUGUCAGUCAUGAAAAAGUAGCUCGUAACUUUUCUGAAAACAGCAGAGCUGCUGUCACAUUUCUGACAAAAAAAUAAAAUAAAUAAAAGUUCAAAUGAAUCAAUUAGUCAAAUUAAUAACAUUGCUUCUGAAGAACAAGGCUUUAAAUAAUAAUAAUAAUAAUUAUAGAUAUUUAUGGGCUGAGGCACCAGUUAUUAAACAGACAAAGGAAUAAAUGUUUAAGUGAGAAAUCUGUCUUUCUCACACGCCCAGAUAUGAAGCGGCACCAGAGUAAUCCUGCAGUUUAAUCUCUGAUGGUUAGUCAGCGGUGCCGUCUGCAGUAAACGCUCGUCUGAAGGGUGGAUUUGGGAUUAAAAUGCACUGGGAACUGGAUAUGACUCAAUUAAACUGAGUCUCAGAACCGAACCGUUCAAACACGACCGCCAGCUCCUCAAAGCUGGGAGGCUCCAGGACUGUUCUGAUGUCUUACUAUUUCUCUGUGUGAUCUUUUCUAAGCUUCAUACACCUUCUCUGAACCACAUGAAGCUUUUGGUUGGGUUGGGUUGGUAUUGUUAGGAAAGAAGUAUUUUAUUUAUUAUUAUUUUUUUUUAUUUUUUUUUUUGGUUAACAUUGAUAACUUUCUUCUACGUGUGUUAAAAUAAAAAAAACAUUUUACAUUUUGCAUGCGUGUUCAUUAGUGCUAACUUAUCCAUCAAACAUAAACUGGGGAAAAAAUGGCUACAAAGUAGUUUAUCAAAUUCUGUUUUAUCACUGCUUUCUAAAGUACUCCUGAUGGACCCACACAAAUAGACAUAUAGACUAUCAAAAAUAAAUAAAUGAUAAUAAAACAAAUGAAGACAUACAUUUAUCACCAUCAUGAGAGUGAUUCAGACCACACACACACUGCCUGUUGGGCACUGUACAUUUCAGCUUAACUUUACUUUAGAAAAAUCUAUAGCCUCAGACUUUUUCAGUAAAGUUAACCUACAGUACUUAAAAUCACUGUUUUUGUAGAAUUGUUACUGUUUUUUUAUUUUUUAAUUUAGCUAAUUUUCUUUUUAUUUUGAUUUUAAAUUUUGAGUUUAUAAUUACUCGCUUGACACUAAUUUACAUAAACUUAUGUUCAGUGUAAAACUUGGCUGUACAAGUCAUUUCAACUCUUUACCCUUUCUUUCUUUUUCUAAAUAUUGUCUAGCUGAAUCUUAUUUAACUUUAAAUAACUUAAAAUAAGCCGAUAUUUGUUAUAUUGUAUCAAAGUAAUGGGUGAAAAGAUAUGUUAUGGUACCAUGACUUUCGUACAGUGUGCUCGAAGAUUAACUGAAGAAACCUCUGUUGGGAAAUAUUCAGCCAUUAUCAGGGUUCAGUUAGUUUUGAGAAAUGUACCUCAACUGCAGAAUUUUUAAGAAUAAAUUCUGCAAAUGCAUAUUAAUAUGGCAGAAACAGUAUUAUGCAAUUCCAAAUUCAGACACCAUGUGUAUGAAAUGUUUUAUAAAAAUCAUUCUUUCACAGUAAAAGUCAUGAUGAUGAUGCACUUCUGUAGACCAAACUGUACAUCAUCAUCACUCUCGACAAUUUUUUUAUUUUAAUUUUUUAUUUUUACCUGUGGCUUUUGGAUUAUUGCAGUAAAUAUGCUUUGUGACUAACCAAAGUUUAUGAUUUUUACACGUUUGUUAUAAGUUUUCACACAUGAACAAAACUUUUAUGAAUUUUGAAGGCUAUAAAUUUGCUGGCUAAUGCUAAACAUAAAUUCAGUAAGAUUGUUAUUCACAUUGGCACUAAUCAUUUCCAGGUUUUCCAGUCAGGAUUUAGACCAUAUCAUAGGACUGAGACUGCUCUCAUUAGAGUUACAAAUGACCUGCUCUUAUCAUCUGAUCGUGGUUGUAUCUCUCUAUUAGUGCUACUGGAUCAUAAUAUAUUUGACACUGUCUAGCUAUCUGCUUUUCAAACUUAAAGGCAUUUUAAACUUUUGAACUAACUUUCAGAACCUUGUCUGAAAACAUUUAAGUUGGAGUAACUUUGCUUUUCUAGUCCAGAUACAGAUUGUGAUGUUUAGAGCCCCAAUAAUAACAUGACUUGAGCAAAAAGAAGAAAAAUCUCACUUCACAGACUGACCACUAAGCGGCGCUGUUCCAUUAGAUAAAGACAGCAAACCAUCAAACCUGCAGCACUGCAACCUUCUGAGAGUGAGUGCAUUUGUUUAGCUGUACUUCAGAAGAGCUGAAUCUGACAGACGCUCAGGUUGAUGUGAAAGUGUGUUUCUUUCCUGCUGGUUAUACAGGAUGAGGGUUACACACACACACUCACACACACACACACACACACACACACACACACACACACACACACACACACACACACACACUCAAGAACCUGAUCAUUCCAUCUUUUCAUUCCACACACCUGCUAUCAGAAACUGCACAAGUUUGUGUGAGAAUGCUGUCAGAUGAGAUUUUCAUACUGUACUGUUUCAUAAUGUCCCUGUGCUGUUGAUUUGGCAAUUCUUUUAAGAGAGAGAGAGAUGUAGCGUCUCACUUGGGACCCACCACCAGCAGGAAACAUGCACAAGCUCCUGUUGUUAAGGCAGUUUCAUACUGAACGAAUCGCUUUUCGAAUUCUUACAGACAGUAGUUUUAUGUGAAUUCCUCUGAUAGAAGUGACUUUUAGAUAGAGAUGGACGCUUUUGAAACUGCUUUGAAGCACCUUUGUGAAUCUUUUGUUUGGAAUCAGUGAUUCAGAGCGAAUAUCCAACUUCAGUAAAUGAGGCGUUGUUGCAUGGUUUGUGAAAUUUAGGUUAGUUUUUUUUUUUUUUUGUAGACAUCCUGUUUUAUGUUGUUGGUUUUCAUGUUAUGUAUUUAUAUGUAAUCACUUCACAAUUCAUUUUGUAACCGUUUUCCAGCAUAAAAUAAAUAAAUAAUAAAUCAAUCAAUCAAUCAAUGGUAGGCCAUUACUGGGCAAUCUCUGUGAAACCAUGAACCAGUGUCUAUUUGGGUUUUUACUUAAUUCAGCUGAUAUUAUUUACAACAGUUAUAAUGAACUAUCAAGAGAACAGUCUCCAGGUGAGGUUCUGCUCGAUCUCGUCUUCCAUGCACAUUCAUCUCAGGAUCUGACAGGAGCAGUUCUGCAUCCAUAUGGCACACAAGGACUUGUGUGUGUGAGAAAGAGAGAGAGAGAGAACAGAUUGUUGUGGGACCUUCAGUCCUGCCCUGUGAACCUGAUGCCACAAUCACCAGCAGGAGAGCAAAAGCAACACACUCUCACACAGCUGUUAAACACACACACACACACACACACACACACACACACACACCAAAAUUAACUUCUGACACAUCUGCAAAUGGCUGGAAUUACAGUUAUUCAUUUAGAGACAUUUAGUGACUUACCGAUGAGGACAAAAUGAUGUCACUCGCAACUGGUGAUAUACUGUAAUUGAAUGAACAUUUAUGUGUAAAAUAUACAAAAUACAGCUUUAUGGCUAGAAACUAUUUGAUAGGACACACAACACUGUUUUUCAGUAAGAUAUGUUUUUGAAAGAAGUCUCUUUUCUGCUUAUUAAGGAAAUAGAAAUAUCUGGGGUCAAUAUUUUUUUAUUUUUUU